UGGGGAAUAUUGCACAAUGGGCGCAAGCCUGAUGCAGCCAUGCCGCGUGUGUGAAGAAGGCCUUCGGGUUGUAAAGCACUUUCAGCGGGGAGGAAGGCGAUAAGGUUAAUAACCUUGUCGAUUGACGUUACCCGCAGAAGAAGCACCGGCUAACUCCGUGCCAGCAGCCGCGGUAAUACGGAGGGUGCAAGCGUUAAUCGGAAUUACUGGGCGUAAAGCGCACGCAGGCGGUCUGUCAAGUCGGAUGUGAAAUCCCCGGGCUUAACCUGGGAACUGCAUUCGAAACUGGCAGGCUAGAGUCUUGUAGAGGGGGGUAGAAUUCCAGGUGUAGCGGUGAAAUGCGUAAAGAUCUGGAGGAAUACCGGUGGCGAAGGCGGCCCCCUGGACAAAGACUGACGCUAAGGUGCGAAAGCGUGGGGAGCAAACAGG
RNAcentral lists this ribosomal RNA (429 nucleotides) under Chloroflexota bacterium. RNAcentral's name for it is "Chloroflexi bacterium partial 16S ribosomal RNA". It matches the Rfam family "Bacterial small subunit ribosomal RNA", at positions 355 to 776 of the family's 1533-position model. Lineage: Bacteria; Bacillati; Chloroflexota. The record is from RNAcentral.